CUCCAUUGCAAUAAAAGUUAGGUCAAACAAUUGGAGAACCAAUGAGAAUGGCACUUCACAAAGUUCCCUGAGCUCUCUUACGGGUCUAGAUCAGGAACAGGAGUCCCGCCAGGGCCUGUGCUGAGGAGGGGCUUUGGGGAGAUGACUGACAGCAGGUGGGGCCUGCUUGGGAGAGGAGGCUCCUGGAGGUGACCCGGAAGGAUUUCUCUCCCUCCUGGGCUCCCGGCUUCUCUCUGUUCCCGGCCACCAUGAGUGGGCAGCUGUCCUCAUGGAUGUCCCUGUGCCGUGGUGCUCUUCCAUGGGGCCAGCCGGCCGUGGACUGUAACCUUGAGGGCAAGUAAACCUCUCCCCUUUAAAUUGUGGGUGUCCAAUCUGGUGUCUCUUGAUGAGGAAAGUGACUGAGAUACUGUUCUUGGAUAGCUCUUUGCUCCUUAUUGUGAGGUUUUGGCGCGAGUAAAAAAAAAAAAAAGUUAAAAAUACCUUUAUUGCAGGCACAGCAAGGCUGUAGAGAGGGAGACAGAUGGAAGGACCUCCGGAGGGCCAGGUGAGGAGAACAAUGGCUACAAAGGGCCAGGCUGGGGGUGGGCUUUGCUGCCUGCGUGACGUGGCAGAUGGUGAUUGGGCAGGGGGCGGGAGAAAGGAAACGGUGUUGUAAAACGGAAGUAGGAAGUUGUAACCUGGCGGGGAAGGAGAAGGGCGGGGCUUGGCACAUGGCUGUCUUGGCUCAUCAAGAUACCUUGCCACAUUGGCUCAUCUCCAUGGUGACCAGGUAGAAUUUUUAAUUUGGGCAGAAACCCAUCACUUCACACCUCUCAUCCUGAACCCUGCUCCGACUGAACUGAAGCGAAGACACACGAUCUCACAUAGGAUGCCCCUGCAGGAAGUUCGCACCGCGAAGCGGCACGGGUGGGUCGGCACAGCCUGCUCUUCGCCUCGCUUCCGCUGCCCAGAAGCAGAUGCUUACCGCAGGGGUCUCUGCGAUGCCACCAAUGGGAAGCCGCCUGCGAGUGCUUACCCUGGACAGCCCGGUAAGAUCCGCGGCCAAGUACAUUUGUGAACGUCAAUAAUAUUUUCCAGACUCUAAAAUGGGGAUGUGGUUGUCUUGGACUCAGGCCAACAGCUUUCUCCAAAUUGAAGAGAGGUGAGCUGGAGGAAGGCCAGGUCCCUGUGGAUGUGCCACACUACCUGCAUGGGUCCCUGGGACGCACAUGCUGAACAGGCCCACCCUGGACACUCUCCCCAUAUCCCUGUGACGUGGUCCUGUAUUCCACAUCCUCAGUUAAAUGUUUCUCCUCGAGGGGCUCCCCGCUCACCCCUUUAAAUAAAUCACAGUCCUUCCCCACUGUGUCCUCCCUUGU
This 1358-nucleotide long non-coding RNA is filed under the name Chinchilla lanigera (long-tailed chinchilla). RNAcentral describes it as "lncRNA (ENSCLAG00000026290.1)". The record is from RNAcentral. Lineage: Eukaryota; Metazoa; Chordata; Mammalia; Rodentia; Chinchillidae.